Loxodonta africana (African savanna elephant) is the source of this 16599-nucleotide long non-coding RNA. RefSeq lists it as uncharacterized. The record is from RefSeq and is a predicted model, not a curated record. The transcript has 5 exons. NCBI's taxonomy places the organism in Eukaryota, Metazoa, Chordata, Mammalia, Proboscidea, Elephantidae.
GCGGCUGGGGUGUGGUUCCUGUUGGGGCUGGGGGCGACUGGGUCGUUCCUGCAGUUAGGCUCGAGGACUGGGAGCGGUCCCGGGGCGGUAGCUGAGCGAGGUGCAGAGCGGCGCUAGCGGUGUCCUACUCUGGUGCCACCAGCGGCUCCAGGCGGGCGCAGGGGCGCUCGCGGAUCCCGCCUCGCCUUGGCGCCCCCGGUCCUCAAGACGCUCACCCCGGAGCCGAGGCCUGGCACCCCUGUCACCCAUUGUCAGCUGUUCAGGGAGCCAGCCAAGCCCCGGGACUUGAGGACGAAAGUUUUAACUGACGGUGCAGGUCCUCCUGAACAAUAGUCAUUUGGCAUGUUAAGAGCUUUUCGUUUUAUUUUCCCAACAGAAGGGAUGACGAGAUCCGGAGACGCUGUUUGACCGUGUUGGUGACCUCUUUUUGUACCUGUGUGCCAAUUUCAGUUUCUGAGCGGUCAGUUUAAAAAAAUUAAACGGUUGCGCAACUUGAAUGUAGUCAGUGUCACUGAAUUGUACAUGAAGUUGUUAAAUUGGUGUAUGUUCUGCUGUCUGUGUUUUCAACAACAAAAAUAUAGAAUUAUUUAAAAGUUAAGUUUUAAUUAAUGCAUUAAAGAAAAAGGAAAGUUAUUUGACGUCUGGAUAUAAGGGGCUGAAAAACACUUUUUAGAUUUUCUGCUUCAGGUGCCUCAUUUUGCACAACAUUUGGUGUCCUUUGAACGCUGUGUGUUAAUUGCGGAGUAAAAAACUCAAGGCCCUUACAUAGUUUGCUCUUGAUAGCUAUUUUACCUGCUGUAAAUAAAUGUUUAGCUUUGUAGUGCAUUUGAGGAGCCCUGGUGGUACAGUGGUUAAAAACUUGGCUGCUAACCAAAAGGUUGGCAGUUUGAAUUCACCAGCCACUCCUUAGAAACCCUAUGGGGCAAUUCUACUGUGUAGUAGGCAAAUGGCAUCCGGUUUUUAGUGCAUUUGAAUUUUUAAAUGCCAUAAUUCAGUUUUUCAUAUAUCAGAUUUUUCCUUCCUGUGAUAGAAAAAUCUGACUGCCUUUGGUUCAGUUCUCUCAUUCCACUCUUGAAGACUGUAUCUUUUAAAAGUAUUUUAAAAGCAAACUCAUGGUUUGUUUAAUGUAACAUUUGAAGUAGGGUUUGUGUGAAAGUAAAAGCCAUCUAUUGGAUGCAAAAGUAUAAAGUGUUGAAAGAGAAAUAUAAAUUAACUAUACCCAGUGGUCAGUGUUGCCUGUGUAUGUGUUUAUAAAGUUAGACCUGCCAUAUUGACAUUGACCUUCUGGCUUCUAGAGAAGCAAGCAGAAGAUAGACAAAGUUGCAGAAAACCAAGACAGGCUUAAGAAGAUUUCAUAAAAUCAAAUACCUUCCUGCCAGGAUGGAGGGCACAAAGGUGGUUUUCAUGACAGUUCUGGUAAUUACUUUUGUGAAGAGCUGGAGAUGUAAUCUGCUCAUGUCUUUUCUCUGUAUUAUUGUACUUACAUCCCUAGCAUGUGUUUACUCCAUUUUUUUGGUAUUUGAUGUCUAUUUUCUCAUGGUAACAUUAUGCAAGGUGGAGUGUAAAUAGUACUAAACAUGUUCUUACCAUGUGAUUAAUGUAAUUAAUGAAUAAGGUUAUUUCCCCCACUAAAAAAAAUGAAAAAAUCAAGUUUGAAGGCUUUUUGAUAAUAUUGCCAUGUGAUUAACUAAAUCUUAUAGUUUGCCGAACAUCAACCUUACCACUAUUCAAAAGUCUGCUAUUUAAGAACUUACAAGAAAAUAGGAGGGAAACAUAAUUAUUCAAGAAGCUACAAUAUUGAUAUCUUUUCAUGAAUUCUUAAAACCAUUCUAAAAAAAUACUAUAAGAUUAAUAAAUAUAUUUUAAAAAUGUACAUUAAAUUUAGGAGUGUUUUGGUAUACCCUUUGCCUUGGUGUUUGGAUUUAUUUUACCAAGUUCAAGACUUACUAUAUAAUUAAGAACUAUUAAAAAAAAAAGAAGUGACAGAACAACUCAUAGAUGCUAAUGCCAUCUAUUUUUAUACUUAUCUGAUCUCACUUUUUUAUAUAUAUGUGUAUAUAUGUAUACAUAUAUGUUUAUAUAUAUGUUAUGUAUGUAUGUGUUAUUAAUUUUUAUUAAUAAAGUGUCAUUGCUAAUAAAUAUAACGAGUGAGACUAUACUAAAUACUAACUUUUGAUGUGAAACGCCAAUGUUAACAUUUCUAAAGAGAAUUAUACUGCAAUUAUAAUUAAUCUCCUAGUUAAAGCAUGAACUUUUUAAACCUGAGAAAGUAGGUAAAUGUUCUCAAGAUGCUAAUGCUGAAGGUGACUUUAAAUGACCAGUUAAUGUUGACAUUAGAAUCCACGGGGACACAGGAGUGGGGAUGUUAGUUGCAGAAUAUGGGGUUUUUUUUUGCUAAGUGAUGUUUUAUUUUCUUUGACAUUUGAUAAUUCCAAGGUGUCAUCCUUUUCCUUUGUCCUCUUCUUCCUUCCUACUAUGGAAACUUAAGAGACCCAUGAGGUAAUCUUCAGAAAAUAACAGGGGAAAAUGUCUGAAAAGAAAAAGGCAGUCCAGGACUGCGUAUGAAAUCAGCUGAGAAAUGGACUUCUCUCCGUGAUGCAAUGAAUGUUUUUCAUGCACUAAAGAUGUUCAGUUGUCCUAGAAAUUUCCUUAGUACUGUUCCUUUUUUUCCAUGGGAGUUGGCUUCCAUAAAGAUUUACAGCCUUGGGGGCAAUUCUACUCUGUCAUAUAGUUGCUAUGAGUUGGAAUCAACUCAGUGGCAAUGGGUUUGGGUUCCUUUUUUGUUUGCUUGUUUUUAUCAUUCAUUUAUUUAUUUAAAAUAAUGUUUUAUUGUGUUUUCAGUGAUGAUUUACACAGCAGUUUAGGUUCCCGUUCAACAAUUUCUACAGAAGUUGUUCAGUGAGUGCAGUGCGAUGGAUCACUUUUAUAUGGCCUUUCUAGCCACGCUCUUAUAACUCCCACCCAAGUGAUUGGGUGGGACUAUGUAAAUAAAGUAAUCAUGGCCCACCAAGGAGAUUGGUCAGCUUUGCCAUUCUGCUAGGCUUAUAAUGAGCCCUCCUAGAAGUGGAAAGAGAGGAUCUCACCACCACCAAGAAGGAAGAGCCAGGAGUGGAGUGCAUCCUUUGGACCUGGGAUCCCUGCACUGAAAAGCUCUUGGAACCAGGAGAUUGAGAGAGGGAGACUGUAACACUGAAGAUGGUGAAAAGUGGUAGCAGAGAAAUGGCAGCAGGAGACACCUGCAGGAGAUGGUGCUGUGGACUUCCCAGCCGAUGGAGUGAGAAAGCUGAGUACCUUCAGGCAAGAGGCUUGCUGGCAGAGUAGGGUGCAUCCAGGCACUUGGUGGAGCUAGGUUUGCUGACCCAUGGAACUGCAGCUGAGCAUCUUCAGGAAGAGGCUUACUGGCGGACUGAGGUGCCUCUGGGCACUUAUCGGGAGCUAAAAGAACUUUGUAACAUUUGCCCAAGGAGGGCAGAGGUCAGGCAAAGUGGCUGAGUGCCUGAGAGAGAUGUGCCUCUGGGCACUGCUGAGAAGAGGCUGUCUUGUUGGAAGAACUGUAUCCUGAGUGUUUCUGAACCUGAACUGUAACCUGUUACUUCCCUAAUAAACCCCAUAAUCAUGAGGAUUGCCUGUGAGUUCUGUGUGGCCAUUGCAGCGAAUUAUCAAACUCAGCAGAGAAGUAAAGGGUGUCAUGGGAGGGAUGGUAGGUGUCAGAAUCGGUGAAGAUGGUGAAGAAAGGAGGCAUGCCUGACCUCCGCCUCAUAGGAAUCAGCCUUUGGGCUGUUGAUCUUGAUUCUUCUUCCCUCUUACGAAGUUAGAGGAGGUCAGACGCCACCCCAAUGCCAUGUUUAUAGUGAAAUUGGUUACAUGCUUCACAAUGAUUGAACGUUCUUACAUUUCUAUUCUGGUUGUUUGUGUUCACUAAUCUUGCUUCCCUGCUCCCUUACAUUCUCAUCUUUGUUUUGAAGUAAUUGCUGACCAUUUGGUCUCAUAUAGGUGAUUUUUUUAAAGGAUCACGGUUCUUACUGGUGAUAUUAUUUUUGAGCCAGUAUGUAAAUUAGCUACAAGGUGACUUCAGAGCUUAGUUUUGGGUCAAAGUUUAAAGAGUAUCUCAGAGCAAUAGUCUCAGGGAGUCCUCCAGUCUCAACCAGUCUAGUAAGUCUGGGGUUUUUGUUUUGUUAGGAAUUCGAGGUUCUUUUUCAUGUAUUUCUCCCAUUCUAUCAGGGUCCAUCUAUUACAGCUCUAAUUAGAAUGGUAGGUAGUGGUAGCAGGGAACCUUCUAGUUCUUCUGGUCUCAAGGUAGAUAAGGCUGUGGUUCAUGUAGACUAUCUGACCUGUAGACUAGUUUCUUCUUUGAGACAUUGAUUUCCUUCGUUCUCUUUUGCUACGGAUGAGUAAAGACCACUAGUUGUAUCUUAGAUGGCCACUUGCAAGCUUUUAAGACACCAGACACUUAAAAGCUUGUAAACAGCCAUCUAAGAUUCUCCACUGGUCUCACCCUGUCUGGAGCAAGGGAGAAUGAAGAAAACCAAGGACUUGAGGGAAAGAUUAGUCCAAAGGACUAAUGGACCAUAAAUACCACAGCCUCCACCUGACUGAGUUCAGCAUAACUAGUUGGUGCCUGGCUACCACCACCGACUGCUCUGACAGGGAUCACAAUACAGAGUCCUGGACAGAGCUGGGGGAAAAUGUAGAACAAAAUUCUAGCUCACAAAAAAGAAAAGGCCAGACUUACUGGUCUGACAGAGAUUGGAGAAACCCCGAGAGUAUUGCCCACAGACACCCUUUUAGCUCAGUAAUGAAGUCACUCCUGAGGUUCAUCCUUCAGCCAAAGAUUAGGGAGGCCAAUAAAACAGAACGAGACUAAAUGGGCACGCCAGCCCAGGGGCAAGGACUAGAAGUGUUGUAGGGUAAAAACAUCACAUCGUGAAGUUUAGUAAAGCAAAAAGAAAGUUUUAUUUGGCAUAUAUUCAAAAGGCAAAAGUGGGAAGCAGACAAGCAUGCUCCCAGAGCCAUGUCUGCCUAAAUCCACAGAAUAUUACAGAAUAGACAAGAAUGGGAAAACAGACAAGCAUGCUGCCACAGCCAUGUCUGCCUGAGUCCAGGGAACGAUACAGAGCCAUUGGUAUAUAUUAACACUACAAAACGGGCAAAACCAUUGAAAGCUUCAUCUUUUCACAGAUUGGCUAGAAACCGAGAUCCUACAUUUUGAAUUGUCUUUCUUAACAAUCAUUGGUACAGGUUUCAGUAAUGACAGUCAGGAGGGUCUUCAUUGGUUCCAGCAAAUUUUCCAUUCACUAAAUAAAUGCUAAUAGAAAAAGAGUGCAAAGUCUUUUGUGUUCUGGCUUGGAUGAAAGGUUCCCUAAAAGACAUUUUUCUUCCCUAAAAGAUAAUUUCUAAGAUUGUCCCAUCUAUUGUCUUUAUCUCAGGGUCCAGUUGAUGUGUCCUUGUGAGUCCUUGUAAGCCCAGCUCCACCUUGUGCCUGGAGGUACCCUACUCUUCCUGCAAGCCUCCUGCCAAAAGAGGCUGGAAUGUCCCAAGUCCGUGGGUCAGGAUAGAGGCCUCUCCUGAUUCAAGUAGCCGCAGGGGCUGGUGAACCCAAGAUUGGCAGGCCGGAGAGCAGGGCUGUUGCUCACAGGCUGUGAAGAUCGAUGAAUCCCAAGAUUAGCAGUCAAGACCACAGGUAAGCUGCUAGCUCAAGUCCCAAGAAUAGGAGAUCAGUGGGAUUAGCUCACCUUGCCCUGUAUGCAGUGCAGCUGGUAACAUCAAAGGACAUUUACUUGGAUCAGUAAAUACUCUCAGGAUAAAUGUGGCUAAGGAGCUCAGGAGUUGCACUUAUCUCUCUGGGUGUCACUUUCACUUAGAUGUUGACCUGGUACCUCCUUAUUCUCUUGACAACUCUUCAGUUCCUUUGAGGAGAUGUAAAAGACUCUAGCAUUUUAGUUGUUUUUAUCCAGAAGAUUAGACUAAACAAUGUAGCCCACCAUUACCAGAAAUAGAAGUAUGCAAGGUUUAUGUAUCAUAGGAGGCAAAGGUAGGAAUGGGAAGUUAGAAAGACAUUUUUUAGAUUUUUGAAUUAAUCACAAAAUGUCUUCCAUUUAUAGAUAUUUGCUGGAGUCCUUGAGUGGUAUAAACAGUUAAUGUGCUCCACUGCUAACCAAAAGGUUGGAGAUUUGAGUCCACCCAGAGAUGCCUCAGAAGAAAGGCGUAGUGAUUUACUUCCAAAAAAAUCAGCCACUGAAAACCCUAUGGAGCACAGUUCUACUCUGACACCGAUGAGGUCACCACGAGUCAGAGUCAACUCGGUGGCAACUGGGGGUGGUGAAUUGAAUGGCUAGUUCAUAGAAAACUGGGUGCUGGAGGGGUACAAAGUUUUAACCAGCUCAAAUGUUCCCAUUAAGCAGCCUUUCAGUCUAGUAAUUCUGAAACUGUAGUGUCACUUUAAUUAAAUUACUUUUUAGAAUGAACUCACUUACAUGGACGAUUAUGGUCGCUAUAAGUUGGAAUUGACUCAGUGGCAACGAGUUUGGUUUUUUGGGUUAAACUCAUUAAAAUCUCAUUGUGCUAUGGGGUCUAUCCUUGGGAUAAAGAGGUCUAUGGCACAAGAAUGUAUAAUUAUAUUUAUUUAAACAGGUUAUUAUUAUUUUAAGGCUGCUACGAACCAAGUUUCUUUCAAGUUUUAGUAUACCAUUAUUUGUAAAGAAAGUAAUAACGUAUCACAUGUUUCUAAAGAUAGGCUUAACCUGCUGUUUUCUUCUAUGUUCAGCAAGUUUAUGAAGUCCUCUCAACUCAACCAAUAAGCAACAUCAUGAUAAAUGGAGAAAAUAUUGCAGUUGUCAAGGACUUCAUUUUUCCUGGAUCCACAAUCAACACCCACAGAGGAGAGGUCAAGAAAUCAAAUGAUGCGUUGCAUUGGGCAAAUCUGCCACAAGAGAUCGCUCUAACAUGUUAAAAAGCAAAGAUGUCACCUUGAAAACUAAGGCGUGCCUGACCCAAGCCAUGAUGUUUUCAAUUGCCUCAUAUGCAUGUGAAAGCUGGACAAUAAAUAAGGAAGACCAGAGAAGAAUUGACACCUUCGAAUUAUGGUUUUGGCAAAUAAUAUUGAAUAUACCAUGUACUGCCAAAAGAACAAACAAAUCUGCCUUAGAAGAAAUACAGCCAGAAUGCUCCUCAGAAGCAAGGAUGGUAAGACUACAUCUCGCACACCUUGGACAAGUUAUCAGGAGGGAUCAGUCCCUGGAGAAGGACAUCAUGCUUGGUAAAGUAGAGGGUCAGUGAAAAACAGACCCUCAACGAGAUGGAUUGACACGGUGGCCAAAACGAUGGGCUCAAGCCUGACAAUUGUGAAGAUGGUUCAGGACUGGGCAGUGUUUCAUUCUGUAGUACAUGGGGUGACUGAGUUGGAGCUGACUCAACAGCUCACAACAACAACAACAACAUUGUCUUUGGAAAGUGCCUUGGUGGCACAGUGGUUAAAGCUUUCAGCCGCUAACCAAAAAGUCAUCAGCUCGAACCCACCAGCUGCUCUGCAGGAGAAAGAUGUGGCAGUCUGCUACUGUAAAUAUUUACAGCCUUGCAAACGCUGUGGGGCAGAUCUACUUUGUCUUAUUGGGUCACUACAAGUUGGAAAUGACUCGACAGCAACAGGAGAUGCCAACACAGUCUCAGAUGUCCACCUGAUACAAGUAGCUCACUCUUCAUCAGCAUCUCUCUUCUACCCAUUGUCCAGUCCCUUCCAUGUCUGAUGAGUUGUCUUCAGGAAUGGUUCCUGUCCUGGGCCAACAGAAGGUUUGGGGACCAUGGCUGCCAGGAUUCCUCUAGUCUCAGUCAGACCAUUAAGUCUGGUCUUUUUAUGAGAAUUUGGGGUGUGCAUCCCACUGAUCUCCUGCUCCCUCAGGGGUUCUCUGUUGUGCUCCCUGUCAGGGCAGUCAUCGGUUGUGGCCGGGCACCAUCUAGUUCUUCUGGUCUCAGGAUGAGGGCUUAACAGAACCCGGUUGGAAGGAAAAACCACUUAAGAGCCUGCAAUGGCAUUUUUAACUUUUCUAUGGAAAGAAAUGCGAAGACAUUUGACUGUGUGGAUCAUAACAAAUUAUGGAUAACAUUGAGAAGAAUGGGAAACCCAGAACACUUAAUUGUGCUCAUGAGGAACCUUUACAUAGAUCAAGAGGCAAUUGUUUGGACAGAACAAGGGGAUACUGAUUGGUUUAAAGUCAGGAAAGGUGUGCGGCAGGGUUGUAUUCUUUCACUAUACCUAUUUAAUCUAUAUGCUGAACAAAUAAUACGAGAAGCUGGACUGUAUGAAGAAGAACGGGGCAUCAGGAUUGGAGGAAGACUCAUUAACAACCUGCAUUAUGCAGAUGACACAACCUUGCUUGCUGAAAGUGAAGAGGACUUGAAGCACUUACUAAUGAAGAUCAAAGACCACAGCCUUCAGUAUGGAUUGCACCUCAACAUAAAAAAAAAAAAAAAUCCUCAUAACUGGACCAAUGAGCAAUGUCAUGAUAAAUGGAGAUAAGAUUGAGGUUGUCAAGGAUUUCAUUUUACUUGGAUCCAUAAUCAACAGCCAUGAAAGCAGCAGCCAAGAAAUCAAAUAACACAUUGCACUGGGUAAAUCUGCUGCAAAGGACCUCUUUAAAGUGUUGAAGAGCAAAGAUGUCACCUUGAAGACUAAGGUGCAUCUGACCCAAGUCAUGGUAUUUUCAAUCGCAUCAUAUGCACGUGAAGUCUGGACAAUGAAUAAGGAAGACCGAAGAAGAAUUGACGCCUUUGAAUUGUGGUAUUGGCGAAGAAUAUUGAAUAUACUAUGGACUGCCCAAAGAACAAAUAAAUCUGUCUUAGAAUAAGUACAACCAGAGUGUUCCUUAGAAGCAAGGAUGGCGAGACUGCGUCUUCCAUACUUUGGACGUGUUGUCAGGAGGGAUCAGUCCCUGGAGAGAGACAUCAUGCUUGGCAAAGUACAGGGUCAGCAGAAAAGAGGAAGACCCUCAAUGAAGUGGAUUGACACAGUAGCUGCAACAAUAAGCUCAACCAUAACAACUAUUUUAAGGAUGGUGCAGGACCAGGCAGUGUUUCAUUCUGUUGUACAUAGGGUUGCUAUGAGUCAGAACUGACUUGACGGCACCUAACAACAACAACAUGGAAAGAAAUAGACAUAGAGUCAAUGAUACUAUUAUUUUUUACUACUGCAUUUUGAUUUUGUAUGAAAAGCUACCGUGUGGUCACCAAAAUCCAUCAAAGAAUUAAAAAAGAAUUACAAUUCAUCAAGUGUAGAUUACACACAAUUUUGUUUAUGAUGAAGGCAUCCAAUAAAAGGGAAAUCUGUUUAUGUAUUUUAAUGGUUUACCAUUAAAAGGAUCAGUUUAAAAGAAGAAAAUCAACGCCAUCACAGAUGGCUUAAUUUUAGUCUUUGAACAUGGCUCUUUUUGUGAUAAGGAGAGUCGUGGAACAACAACAGCUCAUUCUUUGGGGUGUAACAGUCCUACCGAAAGAGCACUCUUAAAAGGAGCAAUAUGUACUAAUAAAGAACACGAACACAGAAUUAUUAUUUUGACAUCCAUUCUUGGCUCUAAAUUGAUGCCUUGAGAGAACUUUGAUGAUUUGUGAAUAUUCCUUCCAUCCUAAGGGGUUAAGAAAUAGUACGUCUAAGGAUAGUUCUCUCUGUGGCCAGGAAAACUUAGGUUGUUGUGAUGGUUAAGAUUGAGUGUCAGCUUGGCUAGGCCAUGAUUCUCAGUGUUUUGGCAGAUGUAUAAUGUUGUGAUCACUUCCCUGUUGAAAUUUGAUACAUGAUCACCCCCAUGAUGGAAUCUGCUGAGUGAUACAGGCAAGGACGGGGCCUGUGGUGGCUCAUCGCCCCUUCAGCCUUCAUCUCUCUGCCCUUGUCCACCUACUUUCCUCCUGCUUGCCUUGCCAGACUUUUGCUUGUCUCAGAUCCUGCAGCUUGCUCCCAUUGGUCUAGCCUCAGGUUCUUGGGACUUGGGCUGGUGGCUUGUCAUCAGUCCCAUGGCCCAAUCUUGAGAUUCGUAGAUCUUCAUGGCCUGCAGCGGCACUGAUCUCUGGCCUGCCGAUCUUGGGUUUACCAGCCCCCGUGGCUACAUGCAUCAGGAGAAUCCUCUUUUAUGCCUCAUGUACUUGGGACAUACAGCCUCUAGGGAACAUGUGAGCCAUUUCCUUGCCAUAAGUCUCUCUCUCUCUAUAUAUAUACACAUGUUUUGCCUCUCUGGAGAACACAGCCUAAAACAUUUGGUACCGGGAGUGGCUCUAGAGAAACAGAAUUGUAAGGAAGAAUUUUCUAAAUUGGUUCUCAGGUCUGAUUAGUCUUAAAGAUGUUGAUGACUCUGCUUCCAGUAGUAAAGAGGGCACUGCUAAUCCAUGGCAUGAGGUGGCAAUUCAAAUAUGCAAAAUAUCACUACCAAUAGAUCAGAUAUUGGUGAAAGGCGAGGCUCUGGGUGAUUGCAUGGAUGACACCUUUCUACAAUUUUGUAGUAAUGAAAACUAUAGGGAGACGGGUUGGUUGGCCCUACUUUUGCUAGACGAACUGGUGAAAGAAAGAGAUGAGCUCAGGGCUUCAGAGUCAAAGCUCAAGGGCUGCAUAAAUGACCUCAAAGUUUCCACUUGUGCCUUGAAAAAAAGCCCUAUUUCUUGUAGUAGCAGAGCUGAUAUUGCCGAAAACCAAACCCAGAGUCUCAUUGUAAGAGUGGCUGAAUUACAACAGGAACUCAAUUGCCAAUCUUGAGAGGUGUCUGAAGUUAAAGCGAGGGCAUUGUUUGGGAAGAAUUGGGAUCCUGAAACCUAGGAUAGGGAUAAUAUGGAAGCUGGAGACACUGAGCCUCUAAAUUCCUCUAAAUUCCAUUGGAUCACUCCUGCCAACAGAACUAUUAGCCCCUCCACUCCCAUCUAGUGAGAUUAACCCAGCUCCAUCUAAAGUGCCUUUGUCUGAGUUAUUGCCUGGAACAUUGUCUGAGGCAGAUGCUUUACAAGACAAUGCUGAAUGUUCACAAGACAUUCUCCCACCAAUUUUGGCUUCUAGACCUAUAACUAGACUUAAGUCCCAGUAAGUCCCAAAAAGUCAAGUACAAAGUGUAACCUAGGAGGAGGUACGCUACACUCUGAAACAACUGCUUGACUUUUCUAAUAUGCACAAAGAGAAACCUGGGGAAUAUGUGUGGGAAUGGCUAUUACGGGUGUGGGAUAAUGAUGCAAGGAACAAAAAGAUAGCUCAAUCUGAGUUUAUUGAUAUGGGCUCACUAAGCACAGAUUCUCCAUUCAAUGGUUCAGCUCAAGAAGUUAGGAAAGGAUUUAAUAGCUUAUUGGGUUGGGUUGCUGAAGCAUGGAUUGAGUGGUGGCCUAUGCUAAAUCAAGUUGAAGUACCAGACCUGCCUUGGUAUACUGUAGAAGAAAGUAUCCAAAAAAAAAAAAUCCAAAGGCUUAGGGAAAUUGGCAUGCUAGAGUGUAUUUAUCAGGUUAGACCCACAGACCCACACAUGGAAUAACUAGAGGACACAGUUUUUACCACAAUGGUGAGGAACAAAUUUGUGAAGGGAGCCCCAGCAUCUUUGAAGGCUGCGGUGAUUGCUAUUUUAUGUAAGUCAGAUUUGACAGUGGGAACUGCCCUAACUCAAUUAAGACACCUAACUACAAUGGGCUGAUUGGAGCCUGUGAUGGUAGGGGCCAAGUGGUAGUACUCAAUCGACAAAGACAAGGUGGUAUGGUUACCAUAAUGGACAGCAGAGUCAAAGCAGUAAUCAGAAUAGCCUGACUCAUAUGGACAUAUGGCGAUGGCUACUUAGUCAUGGUGUCCCUAGGAGUGAAGUAGAUAGGAAAUGUACUAAAUAUUUACAUGAUCUGUACAAGCACAUGAAUUCUAGGUCAUGUGAACAACCAGUCUAAUUCAAAUCGCCAGAAUAGAGAGACGCAGCCCUUCAGUCAAUUCCCAGACUUGAGCGAGUUUACAGAUCCACAACCCCUGAUCGAAGGGGAGGCCUGGUCCCCUUGAGGAAGCACUCCAAUACACUGCCAAAAAAUUAUACUGUUAUUCUUUCUCCCAGCCUUCCGCAAAGGGAUUUACAGCCUUUUACUAGAGUGACUGCUCACUGGGGAAAAGGAAGUAACCAGACUUUUUGAGGAUUACUGGUUACUGGCUCUGAACUGACGCUAAUUCCAGGAGACACAAAAGGUCACUGUGGCCCACCAGUCAGAGUGGAGACGUAUGUAGGUCAAGUUGUUAAUGGAGCCAUGGCUCAUGUCAGUCUCACAGUAGGUCCAGUAGGUGCCCGAACCCAUCCUGUAGUGAUUUCUCCAGUUCCAGAAUGCAUAAUUGCAAUGGAUAUACUCAGCAACUGGCAAAACCCCCACAUUGGAUCCCUGACAAAUGGAGUAAGGGCUAUUAUGGUAGGAAAAGCCAAGUGGAAGCCAUUAGAACUGCUCAUACCUAGGAAAAUAGUAAAUCAAAAGCAAUACUGUGUUCCUGGAGGGAUUGCAGAGCUUACUGCCACCAUAAAGGACUUGAAGGAUGCAGGGGUGGUGAUUUCCACCACAUACCCUUUCAACUCUCGUAUUGGCUUGUGCAAAAAACAGAUGGAUCUUGGAGAAUAAUAGUGGAUUAUUGAAAACUUAACCAGGUGGUAACUCCAAUUGCAGCUGCUAUUUCAGAUGUAGCCUCACUACUUGAGCAAAUUAAUACAUUCCCUGGUACCUUGUAUGCAGCUAUUGAUCUGACUAAUGCCUUUUUCUCCAUACUUGUUUUGAAGGAUCAUCAGAAGCAGUCUACCUUUAGCUGGCAAGGCCAGCAAUACACCUUCACUUGCCUACCUCAGUGCUACAUCAACUCGCCCGCCCUUUGUCAUAAUUUAGUCUGAAGGGACCUUGAUCCCUUUCCCUUCCACAAGAUGUCUCACUGGUCCAUUAUAUUGAUGACAUUAUGCUGAUUGGACCUAGUAAGGAAGAAGUGUCAAUGACUCUGGACUUAUUGGUAAAGCAUUUGUGUGUUAAAUGCUAGAGGGUGGGAAAUUAAUCCCACAAAAAUUCAGGCACCUUCCACCUCAGUGAAAUUUCUAGGAGCCUGGUGGUGUGGGGAAUGUCAAGGUGUUUCUUCUAAACUGAAGGAAAAGUUAUUGCAUCUGGCUCCUCCCACAACUAAAAAGAAGGCACAAUGCCUAGUGGGCCUCUUUGGAUUUUGGAGGCAGCAUAUUCAUUUGGGUGUGCCACUCCAGCCUAUUUAUCCAGUGGCUUGAAAAGCUGCUAGUUUUGAGUGGGGCCCAGAACAAGAGAAGGCUCUCCAACAGGUUCAGGCUACUGUGCAAGCUGCUUUGCCACUUGGGUCAUAUGACCCAGCUAACCCAAUGGUGCUUGAAGUGUCCAUGGCAGAUGGAUGCUGUCUGGAGUCUUUGGCAAAGCCCUAUUGGUAAAUCACAGUGCAGACCCUUAGAAUUUUGGAGCGAAGCCCUGCCAUCCUCCGCAAAUAACUACUCUUCUUUUGAGAAACAGCUUUUGGCUUGUUACUGGGCUUUAGUAGAGACUGAAUGCUUAACUAUGGGACACCAAGUCACAAUGUGACCUGAGCUGCCUAUCAUGAACUUGGUGUUGUCUGAUCCACAGAGUCAUGAAGUUGGACAUGCACAGCAGCACUCCAUCAUUAAGUGGAAGUGGUAUAUUCGAGAUUGAGCCCAAGCAGGACCUGAAGGCACAAGUAAGUUGCAUGAAGAAGUGGCCCAAAUGCCCAUGGUCUCCACUCCUGUCAUAUUACCUACCAUCUCCCAGUCUGCACCUAUGGCCUCAUGAGGGAGUUCCUUCUGAUCGGUUGACUGGAGAAGAGAAAACUUGUGCCUGGUUUACAGAUGGUUCUGAAUGAUAUGCAGGCACCACUCAAAAGUGGACAGUGGCAGCACUAUAGCCUCCCUCUGGAACUUCCCUGAAGGACAGUGGAGGGAAAUCCUCUCAAUGGGCAGAACUUUGAUCAGUGCACUUUGCUUGAAAGGAGGAAUGGGCAGAUGUGUGAUUGUAUACUGAUUUGUGGGCUGUGGCCAAUUGUUUGUCUGGAUGGUCAGGGACUUGGAAGAAACAUGACUGGAAAAUUGGAGACGAGGAUUUAUGGGGAAGAGGUAUGUGGAUAGACUUCUAUGAGUGGGCCAAAGAAGUGAAGAUAUUUGUGUCUCAUGUGAAUGCCCAUCAAAGAGUGACUUCAGCAGAGGAUGAUUUUAACAAUCAAGCGGAUAGGAUGACACAUUCUGUGGAAACCAGUCAUCCUCUUUCCCCAGCUACUCCCGUCAUGGCUCAAUGGGCUUAUGAACAAAGUGGCCAUGGUGGCAGGGAUGGAAGUUAUGCAUGGGCCCAGCAACAUGGACUUCCACUCACCAAGGCCACCUUGGCUACAGCCACUGUUGAGUGCCCAGUCUGCCAGCAGCAGAGACCAACACUGAGUCCCUGAUAUGGCACCAUCCCUUGAGGUGAUCAGCCAGCAACCUGGUGGCAAGUUGGUUACAUUGGACCACUUCCAUCAUGGAAAGGACAGCGUUUUGUUCUUACUGGAAUAGACACUCUGGAUAUGGAUUUACCUUCUCUGCAUGCAGUGCUUCUGCCAAAACUACCAUCUGUGGACUUACAGAAUGCCUUAUCCAUGGUCAUGGUAUCCCACACAGCAUUGCCUUGGAUCAAGAGACUCACUUCACAGUAAAUGAAGUGUGGCAGUGGGCCCAUGCUCAUUGAAUUCACUGGUCUUACCAUGUUCCCUGUCUUCCUGAAGCAGCUGGUUUGAUAGAAUGAUGGAAUGGCCUUCUGAAGACACAAUUAUGGCACCAGGUAGGUGGCAAUACCUUGCUGGACUGGGGCAAUGUUCUCUAGAAGGCUGUAUAUGCUCUCAACCAGCAUCCAGCAUAUGGUGCUGUAUUUCUUAUAGCCAGGAUUCAUGGGCCUAGGAACCAAGGGGUGGAAAUGGGAGUGGCACCACUCACAUUACCACUAGUGACCCACUUGCACAAUUUCUGCUUCCUGUCCUUGAGACAUUAUGCUCUGCAGGUCUAGAGGUCUUAAUUCCAAAGGGAGAAAUGCUCCCCACCCCGGACACACAUCACUGAUUCCACUGAAUGGGAAGCUAAGAACGCCACCUGUCCACUUUGGGCUCCUUAUGCCUCUGGAUCAACUGGCAAAGAAGGGAGUUACUGUACUGGGUGGUGUGAUUGAUCCUUAUUACCAAGAGGAAAUCGGAUUAAUAGUACAUAACGGAGGUAAAAAAAGAGUAUGUCUGGAAUGCAGGAGAUCCCUUAGGGCGUCUCCUAGUACUCUCAAGCCCUGUGAUUGAAGUCAAUGGAAAACUACUAUAGCAACCUAAUUCUGACACGACUACUAAUGGCUCAGACCCUUCUGAAUGAAGGUUUGGGUUACCCCAUUAGGCAAUGAACCGUGACCAGCUGAGGUGCUUGCUGAGGGCAAAGGGAAUACAGAAUGGGUGGUGGAAGAAGGUAGUUCUAACUACCAGUUACAGCCAUGUGGCCAGUUGCAGACACAAGGACUGUAAUUGUUAUGAGCAUUUCUGUUUUGUACAUGUGCAUCAAAUGUUUUUGUUUUCUUCACUUAUAAAAUAUAAGAUGUAAAUGGGGCUAGCACAUUUUCAGUUGUACGCAUGUUAGUUGUAUCAUGUUAGGCACAAGUAUGACUUUGUAAUUGUCUUUAUUCAGAGAUUAUGUAUGGUUUGGGGAGAUGUGUAUAGGUGCCAAGUUGACAAAGGGUGGACUGUGAUGGUUAAGAUUGCAUGUCAACUUGGCUGGGUCAUGAUUCUCAGUGUGUUGACAGUUGUAUAAUGUUGUAAUCACUUCCCUGUUGAAUUUUGAUACAUGAUCACCCACAUGAUGGAAUCUGCUGAGUGGUACUGGUGAGGGCGAGGCCUGUGGCAGCUCACCAUCCCCUCAACCUUCAUCUGUUUGCCCUCUGCCUACUUCCGUCCUACUCACCUUGCCAGGGCUUUUGCUUGUUCUGGAUCCUGCAGCUUGCUCCUGUUCAUCUGGUGUCUGGUUCUUGGGACUUGGGCUGGCAGCUUGCUGGUGGUCUUGCCUGCCCAUCUUGAGAUUUGUUGAUCUUCACUGCCUGCAGUGGCAGUGCUCUCUGGUUUGCUGAUCUUGGGUUUGCCAGCCUCUGUGGCUACGUGGUUCGGUAGAAUCCUGUUUUUUGCCUCACUGACUUGGGAUGUACAACAUCUAGGGGCCACAUGAGCCAUUUCCUUGAUAUAAAUCUCUCUUUAUAUAUAUAUCUAUAUAUACAUAAAAAAGAAAAAAUAUAUAUACAUAUAUGUAUUUAUAUAUAUAUGUUUUGCUUCUCUGGAGAACCCAGCCCAAGACAGUUGUACAUCUAGACUCAGGGAUGGAUUACCCAAUAAGCAAGUUACCCAUGGGCUUAACUGUACUUACUACUAAUCUGUAGUGCACAACCUCACAUGGGUUUUACUACAUCAAAGGUGUGGUGAAAAAUAGGUGAAAUUGUGCACUACAGAUUUGUAAAUAAACACAAUUAAGCUUGUGUGUACCUUGCUUACUGUAAACUGGUGCAUACCGUGCUUACUGGUUAAUCUGACCCUGCUUCUAGUACAAAUUCAGAGGUAUCUUGCUUUGUGUCAUA